Molecule: long non-coding RNA, 831 nt
Filed under: Olea europaea subsp. europaea
Lineage: Eukaryota; Viridiplantae; Streptophyta; Magnoliopsida; Lamiales; Oleaceae
Source: RNAcentral
GACCACUCUAUUUAGUGCAUGUUAAAAACAGCAGGAGAUGCCGAAACAUGAGAGAACUCAUUCUAAAUUAUAGAUUAGAAGGGCAAAAAAUGGGGACAACCUGAACAGGGAGGGAAUUCCUCACCCAGUCAGCUUGGCAGGUUGGGUUCCUUGCCCUGACUCUGGUUUGGGGUUGGGUGGGGGGAGGUAGGGAGCCCCAAAAAUUGAAAAGAAUGUGAAAUUUGGGAUUUGUCGAAAAGUAAGAUAGUACCGUAUGGUGGCCUUUCCACCAAUCAUUUGGAUGCAUCUUUAUGCAAUAUAUAUAAAAGGGAUUCGAAUAAUAACUUAAAAAAUUCAGUGACCAUGGAGAAACAUCAUAAAUUUCAAAGAUCAUUUAGUAACUCAAGAAAAAAGUGUUGACCAUUUAGAAACAUGAUUUGUCUAGUUGGGUGUCAGAAACCUCUUUGAUGGAAUCACUUAAAGUGGUGGAUGGGUAUCACUUUCAACAGCUCAAUAAACAUGAGAAACAAUGUAAAGUUCGAUGACGUUCUAGUAAUACUGGCAAAGUUUAGUGACCAAUAAAAUAAUUAACUCGUUUAUAUUAUACAGAUACCAUCAAUCUGUAAAUGCAAACUAGGACUGGAACUUUAUCAUCUCCUCUAAUAGACUUUAAAUCAAAGAAUACUGGAUUCUAACGGAACAUCUCAUACGUUGUCGGUGCUCUUCAUUAUGCAUUCACUUGGCAAUUUUCAACUAUGAGAUUGGAGAAAAGGAGGAUAUAAGAAAAGAUAUGACAAACUUCAAGGCCACAAGAAAGAAAGAUAAUGUAGGGCUUAUUUGGGACAGUUUUUG